CUUCAAAUAAUUAUUAGUAAUUAAUUUUGCCUCAGAUUUUAUUUCAAUAGGCGAUAAGCCUCCACUAAAAGUUUCAGUUAGGUCAAACCAUUAACAUGAACCUACUCAAUAUUUCUAGCUAAUGAAUGAUCAAGUUCGAGGAUGGCUCGGUCAACACAACCAUCAUCAGAUAGCACAACAGAGUCAUCAUAUGAUAAAUGAUAAUUUCAUAUUCUUAGAGAACAC
Molecule: long non-coding RNA, 225 nt
Filed under: Elaeis guineensis (African oil palm)
Lineage: Eukaryota; Viridiplantae; Streptophyta; Magnoliopsida; Arecales; Arecaceae
Description: long non-coding RNA (EGUI_LNC081566)
Source: RNAcentral